Small nucleolar RNA from Eutrema salsugineum, 94 nucleotides. The record is from Rfam. Lineage: Eukaryota; Viridiplantae; Streptophyta; Magnoliopsida; Brassicales; Brassicaceae.
UCUGGGCAGAUGAUGAAUCUCAUAAAACAAAUGGGUAAUUUGCGACUGAAAUUACAUUGAUGUGUUUUUCACCUUGGAGAACUGAUGAUCCAGA